This is a non-coding RNA of Phalacrocorax carbo (great cormorant), 562 nucleotides long. The record is from RefSeq and is a predicted model, not a curated record. NCBI's taxonomy places the organism in Eukaryota, Metazoa, Chordata, Aves, Suliformes, Phalacrocoracidae.
CUAAUCUGGGCAGCAAUGUGUGUGAAGGGAGACUGCUGAGUGAUCUGCGGUUCUGACCAGAUGGUUUAGUGUUUCACAGACUGAAGACCCACUGUAUUUUAUCCCCCUAUGAUCCCUUCGCACUUUGGACUAAUCUAACAGCUGAUUUUGUUGGAACCCAGUUCACUGAAUAAGAUGGAUAUAACCAUCCCAGUAGUGGCUCCAGUCCACCAAAGAAUGCUAAGGCGAUUUUUACCUCUGAAUCCUUUGGAAUUGUCAAGCCGUUUUACUGCAGCCAAGGGAAGGAAAACUGGGGCCACAUGUUCUUGAAUGCCGUCUGAUUGCGCAGGGGUGACCUGGGGAUGACUUAUUAUGUUAUCAUUCUGGAGUUUUGCCAGAUAACUCCCCUUUCAUCCAGAAUCCCACAAAUACAAAGAUCUGUGAAAAUUAUGGAAAUGUUAGGGAUCUGCUCUUAAGGCCUACAUUUCUAAGUAAAUUUUUAAUGUUUGGGGUUUUUUUGUGAAUCAAAUGUCCAUGCACAUAUUUUCUAUCAGUUCAUUUCCAUAUUUGAAUAAAGGUGAUC